RNAcentral lists this ribosomal RNA (319 nucleotides) under uncultured eukaryote. RNAcentral's name for it is "partial 18S ribosomal RNA". It matches the Rfam family "Eukaryotic small subunit ribosomal RNA", at positions 1470 to 1796 of the family's 1831-position model. The record is from RNAcentral.
CCCUUAGAUGUUCUGGGCAGCACGCGCGCUACAAUGGUCUUCGCAAACGGAUGCAUUCUCGAAGGAGAAUGCCAAUCUUGGAAUCUAUGCCUUGGUCGGGACAGUUGCUUGCAAUUUUUCGACUCGAACCAGGAAUUCCUUGUAAUCGUGAUUCAUCACAUCACGAUGAAUACGUCCCUGCCCUUUGUACACGCCGCCCGUCGCUCCUACCGAUCGAAGAGUUAGGUGAAUUGUUUUGAUCGAUAAGAUUUGACUAUGGUCAACUCUCGUUGGGAAAUUCUGUGAAUCUGACUGUUUAGAGGAAGGAAAAGUCGUAACA